RNAcentral lists this long non-coding RNA (263 nucleotides) under Salmo salar (Atlantic salmon). RNAcentral's name for it is "lncRNA (ENSSSAG00000087682.1)". Lineage: Eukaryota; Metazoa; Chordata; Actinopteri; Salmoniformes; Salmonidae. The record is from RNAcentral.
AAAACAGAGGAUAUUUGAACAUAACUAUGGAUUAUUUUGAACCAAACCAACAUUUGUUAUUGAAGUAGAAGUCCUGGGAGUGCAUUCUAACGAAGAACAGCAAAGGACCUGAGCCCUAGGACUAUGCCUCAUGACUACCUGGCAUGAUGACUCCUUGCUGUCCCCAGUCCACCUGGUUAUGCUGCUGCUCCAGUUUCAACUGUUCUGCCUGCGGCUAUGGAACCCUGACCUGUUCACCGGACGUGCUUGUUGCACCCUCGACA